Molecule: ribosomal RNA, 460 nt
Filed under: uncultured bacterium
Lineage: Bacteria
Description: partial 16S ribosomal RNA
Rfam family: Bacterial small subunit ribosomal RNA
Source: RNAcentral
CCUACGGGUGGCAGCAGUGAGGAAUAUUGGUCAAUGGGCGGAAGCCUGAACCAGCCAAGUAGCGUGCAGGAUGACGGCCCUACGGGUUGUAAACUGCUUUUGUACCGGGGUAAAAUGCCUUACGUGUAGGGUUUUGAAAGUACUGUACGAAUAAGGAUCGGCUAACUCCGUGCCAGCAGCCGCGGUAAUACGGAGGAUCCGAGCGUUAUCCGGAUUCAUUGGGUUUAAAGGGUGCGUAGGUUGUUUUAUAAGUUAGCGGUGAAAUACCGAUGCUCAACAUCGGGGCUGCCGCUAAUACUGUAGGACUAGAGAUCGGAUGCAGCAGGCGGAAUGUGUAGUGUAGCGGUGAAAUGCAUAGAUAUUACACAGAACACCGAUUGCGAAGGCAGCUUGCUAGGCCGGAUCUGACACUGAUGCACGAAAGCGUGGGGAUCGAACAGGAUUAGAUACCCGUGUAGUC